GCAUGAUUGUCUUAUAUUUACUGGAGUCACAGGGAUAGACCGUGUCCUUGCAGACGUGCUCUCCAGCCUAGUUGGAAGCUGCUGCUGAUUUGCAGAUGCUAUCGAAUGCACCUUUGGAGGCAACCCGCGCUGAAGAUGAGGAGCAGGUGCACGUGCUCCAAAGCUUCCCCGUGGAACUGGCGCGUGCUGAAGAUGAGGAGCAGGUGCACGUGCUCCAAAGCUUCCCCGUGGCAGAACUGGCAUGAGACUAAAAGGAGUUGAUGUUGAUCUGACAAUGUUGUUUAGUAUGGAGGGAUGAGGUCUGCCCAUUUGUGAAGAUGGCGAUGAUGAUUGUGAUGGUCGAUCGACCUG
This 351-nucleotide long non-coding RNA is filed under the name Hordeum vulgare. RNAcentral describes it as "long non-coding RNA (HVUL_LNC013747)". Lineage: Eukaryota; Viridiplantae; Streptophyta; Magnoliopsida; Poales; Poaceae. The record is from RNAcentral.